Molecule: long non-coding RNA, 1961 nt
Organism: Ornithodoros turicata
Lineage: Eukaryota; Metazoa; Arthropoda; Arachnida; Ixodida; Argasidae
Exons: 3
Source: RefSeq, a predicted model, not a curated record
GAGGAAUUAAAGCUCUAGAAUAUUACAGACAUGGGAGAGGGGCACUUAAAAGAUUAUGGACAGUUUAUGAGAUCUUUUACAGUUGAUGAGCAUGACCCUCCUUGAGAGUGUUUCAUUUUUUCCCCUUUUCGACGUUGCCAGAAUAGUUUGCGCAGUUGUUAUCUUUCAUAUAUUUUUUAUUUGAAUUCCGUGUGAGCGCCGUGAAGACACUGUGACUAUGAGCUGCGUACAGACGUGAACAAAUGGAGAGAGGGCAGCAGGAAGGAGUUGGAGACAGGUGGGUUAAUGUGCUUCCUGGGCCGACUUCAGGGGGAACUGUGGGGGACAUUGAUCUGAGUCUUCGGAAAACCCAGGGAAGACCUCAGACAGCACAGCCGGUGACAGGAUUCGAACCCGUGUCACCUCGCAGUCUCGGCGUGGCGAAGCGAUCAUCCUAACCCCUAUGCUAGUUUUGGUAUUAUCCCUCAUCUUAAAGUGAACCUCGACUGUCCACCAAUCAUCGUUUCGUAGCAUGCUUUCUACCACAUACAUCUUGGAACGCCAAGGGAAGUAUGUAACUACAAAGCAUGGAGAUGGCCUGAUAUGGAAUUUGAGACAACACGCUUUCUUCCACGCUUGUGACGUCACGUGUCAUCUCUAACGAUGGCAGAUCAUCAGGGCAGUUUGUAAGUCACGUGGCACGUUACAGGAGGGACAUUGGUCUGACCUUGGAAAACCCAUGACGACGAACCAGCAAACCAUCAGUGCAGGGUCCAAAGACUGACACGUGAUCCGCGGGGUAUGUGGACAAACAUCACGUGAUGUCCAACAAAGCAGGUAUUCGUUGAGUCAUUCGAAGACACUCUCUCAUCCAACCAAGGGCACCCAGUGGAACUGCAACGCUUGUACGCUUCUAUAACAUCGAAUAAGAUACCUUGCUCGUACUCCGCUACCUGAGCUGCCCAGGACGUUAAGCCUGAGUAGGUAGAAGCACACAGAGGGACGACAUCAACACAGGAGCACACAGUCUGUGUGCCAGGCUCAGGCUUUUACGUAAUGGACUUCUACCACCAGCUUGCCUGCAUAUGCGCCAUCUCGUAGGGUUUCCUUGCUCUGCUGUACGGUACGUAAUCUUUUUAUUUAGCCCCGACUCUAGAAUGCAUUACCCAACCCCACACGAUUCCACGCGGUCUACACAGAAAUUUUUUAUGCCUUUUUUAUUAUAAAUUCUUAUGAGUGAAAAGUGUGUACUAUGGGGACACACCCGAAUUACACUUUUACUACACUCCACUAAGCACCCGUGUUGGUGUCAAAGGGGGGUAUGUACCAAUACACCCCGAUCACACUUAUGUUACACACUAUGCUAAAUUUUGGAACACUCAUAUCAGUGCAAAAGGGGUGUAUGCCGCAUAAUGCUCGAAGCUCCUGUGUUUUCUUUUUAAUUGUCAUAAUGUUUGUAACAUACAUAUAUAGUGCCUAUAUCUUCUUGUGUGUGUGUAUGGAUAACCUGGUACAUGCAAAUGGACGCGAAAAGUAACAGACCACAGGUAAUAAAGAGACUUGGGAAGCCGUAUAGGGAUUAAAAACAAUUGCUACUUUUAUUACAUUAAAAAAUUAAUGGGAGUUACUAGAGAUAGAUUUACAGUCAUAUUGCCAACUGUAGGACAACUGUACUCAUAGUUAGGGGUGGACCUUUUGGCAGUCGGCGCUGCUUUCAACAUGACUAAACCUGAAAAUAGGUGACAGGGGUUUGACUCCCUGGCUGGAAGGUUUACUGGUGCGGGUGACAUGGGAAUUAAAAUACACGUGUCUACGUAAGUAAAGAGCUAACUACUGCGAGUGAUUGUGAACUUAAUAUACGAAAAGAAAAAGUAGAAAAACCGAAGAUUACGAACAGCUAAGAAAAAACGAGGGAAGUUGGACAGCAACAGCCUUCAACAGCACUUGCAAAUGUCGAAGACAGGUUGCUGUUGCUGUGUCGA